RNAcentral lists this ribosomal RNA (253 nucleotides) under uncultured bacterium. RNAcentral's name for it is "partial 16S ribosomal RNA". It matches the Rfam family "Bacterial small subunit ribosomal RNA", at positions 524 to 776 of the family's 1533-position model. The record is from RNAcentral.
UACGUAGGCAGCAAGCGUUGUUCGGAAUUACUGGGCGUAAAGAGUGUGUAGGCGGUGUUCUAAGUUUGGUGUGAAAUCUCCCGGCUUAACUGGGAGGGUGCGCCGAAAACUGGAAUGCUAGAGUAUGGGAGAGGUAAGCGGAAUUCCUGGUGUAGCGGUGAAAUGCGUAGAUAUCAGGAGGAACACCGGUGGCGAAGGCGGGUCUCUGGGCCGAUACUGACGCUGAGGAGCGAAAGCGUGGGGAGCGAACAGG